Anoplophora glabripennis (Asian longhorned beetle) is the source of this 1787-nucleotide long non-coding RNA. RefSeq lists it as uncharacterized. The transcript is spliced from 3 exons. The record is from RefSeq and is a predicted model, not a curated record. NCBI's taxonomy places the organism in Eukaryota, Metazoa, Arthropoda, Insecta, Coleoptera, Cerambycidae.
CUACUCGAAAGAAGUACAAUGGUAGCACUCAUUGAAACCACAUGCUCUCUUGUGCUUUUUUAUCGCUUCUGUUCCGCCAUUGUUCCGCUAUUAAACUCUGGUGUUUUUAUUAAGAAACCGGCCAGUAUCAGCCUUUGGAAGUACUCUCCCGUACUAAGUGUCAUUGUGUAAGAAGAAAACUGCUCCAAGUUAUCCAGUCAGAAAUCUCAGAUCAAAAUCGUCCGAUACACCCGCACAAAGCAGAUCGCAGAUUAAGAUAAGAAACAGACAUCUGGUUAGGCAUAUUAGACCCAAUCAUUGCAAGGACACUCAAUCGAAUCUUUGGCGGAUUUUAGUAGGAGGACCUCUCGCACAGACGCGGGCCACGCUCCCCGCGGGGAACUUCCUAAAACCACAAACAAACUCCAUCGACAAUGGGCCCGGUCUCCGCAAACAACCCGAAGAAAAGCUAAGCCGCCUUUUAAUACUUGUUACCAUACAAGAUCCGCAGAAGAUACUGUAAAUAUACUGGAACGGUAGAUCCUUGAAAUGCAAUAUUCCGACGCGUUAUUGUUGAGGUUAUGUUUGCUGCUCUGUGCUCUUUUCAAGUCACCCACAAUGGGUACAGGAAUAUUAGGAGAUUAGGCUUUGUUAGGGCUUGUCCACUGUGUGCAUUAUGUGGCCUAUUAGGUAUUUACUUUUUUGUGCACGUCGAGAUUUUUGCUGCAGUUGAAUGUGUAAAUGGGUCAGAAAAUUCUAGCGAUUUGCUGGGGCAAUUCUGAUAUCGGAUUCGGAUUCAGCGGCUCAAAAUACAUGGGAAUACAUAUGCCGGACAAUGAUUUUCAGCAGCUGUUAAACCACAGAAACUAAUUUAUUAAUUUUUUGGAUUUUAACCUUUUUUAAGGUUAGGAAGAAUUUAUGACCUUUUGGGCCUAAUCUGACUUCGGAUUUGUGUUCAUCAGAUCAAGAUACAUGGGAAUAUAAAGAUCUGACCUAGCUUCAGCCGCUGAUAAAUCAAAUCUGGAUAUUAAAACCUGAAUUGUCUAUUUCGAGGAUUUUUAAGAAGCAUUUUUUGAUGUUAUAAAAUUCUGGCGAUUUGCAGGGGCAAUUCUGACAUCGAAUUCGAAUACAUAGGAAAGUAUUCUGGUCAUUUGCACACAAGACUUUUUUUGUGGCGUUGUGUAAUUUAAUAAUGGAAAGACAUUUUGUAAAAGGUAGUUGAUAGAACUCCUUGAUGACGUCAACUAAUGCCACAAGCAAAAUGUUUCCCAAGUAAAUUGUAGAUGGCGCAGUUGUCAAAAGAAGUUUUUUCGUUCGAGGGAACUUUGCAAAGCGGUUGUCUGUGGCCACUCUUAAAUUGUGCUCUAUAAAUAUUUUCUUCUAGGUUUUGUCACAAUUCCUGAUCACAAAAAACUGCACACUGAAAUAAAGUAUUGAACAAGUUUGGCAUAUCUUCCAUUAGCUAAACGUACACCAUUUUUUUUAAAAGCUCCCACAAGAAAAAAUCAAGUGGUGUCAAAUCCAUAAUAAAAGAAGAUCAGUUAAAUUCCUAUUUAAAAUACGAUAACAAACAUUUAUAUCGAGUUUAUUUUAUUUACCGUUAAUUGUUUUACAUCUUGGUAUAUUAUCGGACUGAUAAUGGUAAUUACGGGUAUUUUAAUAAGACCGUUACAAUGGACAUUCAUCACUCCAUCAAAUUAUCUUUAGAAUAUUAUUUUCAGUUUCGAGUCUCUCUAACUUUAUUGAUAUCCAAACUAUUAAAUUAUCGAAAUGAAAUUUAUUUAUGAUACCAUUUGGUUAAAAAUAAA